RNAcentral lists this microRNA precursor (123 nucleotides) under Physcomitrium patens. RNAcentral describes it as "Physcomitrella patens miR2079 stem-loop (ppt-MIR2079)". Lineage: Eukaryota; Viridiplantae; Streptophyta; Bryopsida; Funariales; Funariaceae. The record is from miRBase by way of RNAcentral.
AUAUAAGUACUAAUUAAUUUAUGCGUCAUCAACAUCAACUCUUCAUAGUUAUUAUAUAAGUACUUAUAUAAUAACUAUGAAGAGUUGAUGUUGAUGACGCAUAAAAACAUCGAUAAGUAUGAU